Molecule: ribosomal RNA, 405 nt
Filed under: uncultured bacterium
Lineage: Bacteria
Description: bacterial SSU rRNA
Rfam family: Bacterial small subunit ribosomal RNA
Source: RNAcentral
CCUUCGGGUUGUAAAGCUCUUUCGGCCGGGAAGAAAUCGCAUGGGUCAAUACCCUGUGUGGAUGACGGUACCGGAAUAAGAAGCACCGGCUAACUACGUGCCAGCAGCCGCGGUAAUACGUAGGGUGCGAGCGUUAAUCGGAAUUACUGGGCGUAAAGCGUGCGCAGGCGGUUUGGUAAGUCAGAUGUGAAAUCCCCGGGCUCAACCUGGGAACUGCAUUUGAGACUGCCAAGCUGGAGUUUGGCAGGAGGGGGGUGGAAUUCCACGUGUAGCAGUGAAAUGCGUAGAGAUGUGGAGGAACACCGAUGGCGAAGGCAGCCCCCUGGGCCAAUACUGACGCUCAUGCACGAAAGCGUGGGGAGCAAACAGGAUUAGACUACCCUGGUACGUCCACGCCCUAAACGA